UGGAUUGAAGGGGUGAAGGCAGAAGACAGCAAGACCAGUAAGAGGUGGUUUAAAUAAGAGACAUAAAGUAGUGGUGUGGGAACUAUUUCACGAAGAAGAUGAAGGAAGGACGGUUGGCAGGCAGAAGGCAGGACAGAUCAUACUACUAGUUAUUGAGUAACUGCUAGUUAUUGAAACUGUACUGCCUGCCAGGCUGUAUGCUACGCACUUUCUCAUUUUACACCCCUCUCCCAAAAUGUCAAGGAGACGUUAAGUAGAUGAAAGACCAAGAAAAGCGAGGGAGAAAAUUCAAUAUAUUUGAGAACAAAGGCAGCCAUUAACCUGUCCAUCUUCAGAACCUGAAUCGGUAGCCAAAUCUCAGCAGACAGAGCUACAUAAUGCCAGAUAAAUCUUCUUGCUGAAUGAGAGACCCAUCCUACCAGCAUAAACAACAUUUGAACACUCUAGCCCCCAGCCUUACCAGCCAGCUCUCCAUUCUCUACACACAGAGUCUUUGUUGGGACACUCUAGGCCAGUUAUUUCACCAUCCUGAGUCUGGUCCCUCUCUGAGGCCCAGGGACAAAUAUUCAGUUCAGGUUUGAAUUAAGGAAAGAUACUACUACCUUGAUGGGGGAUCAGGACCACAGGACCAAAUUGAACCAGGCAAGACUGAAGGGGCCAAGGGAUAGAGGAUCCCCCUCCCAAAGGAGCCAACUGGAAGGCAACAAUUGGGUGGCCUGUUAAAGAGGAAAGAAGCUUAGGACAGGGAGAAUGCCACUUUCUAGUAUUACAAAAAUAUCCUUUAGGCAAGGUGAGGCCUUUUUUUUACUCUGACACUAUUUUUUUUUAAACCAACCCUGAAAGAAAAAUGAUAGGGUCAAGGUUGGUCCAGGGAACAGUAGGUAGGGAAGCAGAUGAGAGGUUCAGAGCUCUGGAGUGUGAGCAAGAUAUUCUUCUUCUAGGCACCUGAGUUAUCUUCUUUCUAAAUCAGGGCGAAAUGUCCCUUUUCAUGUUUCCUGAGUAGUCAGGGAAGCAACCAACCAAAGUCAUUGGGAAUUAGAACUAAGAAUCAGACGGACCUGGUUUGCAUGCCAAUGGUGUCACUGGCUAGCCGUGCAACCCAUGGCAAGCCACUGCAAGUCUCAGAGCUUUGGUUUGCUUGUGUGUGAAAAUGACAAAUAUAGUGCAGGCCUAACAGAAGCAUGGUGAACAUCUGAUGAUGGAAUAUGUGCAAAGCGCUUAACGUAGUUCCUGGCACAAUAUUAAGUACUUCAUAAAUGUUUGCUGUUAUGAUUAUCAAUCAAAACACAGCAGUAAUAAAUUAAGGCAUGUUAUUAGACCUUAGCUUUCCUACCAAUAAAGAACUAGACAAUCUCAAGUGUUCCUUCCAGCUCUGCUGUUUAUCUGAAAAUUCACGACAGACACUCAGUGAUACAGAAAUGUGUGCUCCAGACCAUGUGAACUGGAGAAGAGAAUUUGGUUCUCUUCAGCUUCAAUUCACAUUUGGGUUCAUGUGUUUUGCUGCCUUCCUUCUUUUCUCUACGUAUUGACACCUAGGAAAACUCAAGAUGCCAGAGAUCCCUGACACCGGGCUCAUAUGGUAGGCUGCGUGAUGAUGGAGCCGAGAGCUUAACCGCCCAAGGACAGAGGGCCUCAGCAGGAACUUUGGGAAUCAGCAUAUUGAUACCUAAGUGGAGACCUCUUUCCAGACCCAGAAACUGGAGCACGCAAGGCCUUGGGGAAAUGACCAGCAAGUUCACAGCCCAAGGUUUCUCUGACUGGUUGGAGAGUCUAAUGUAUUCCGUCAUGCCGUCUAAUUCAGAGUCUCCUUGCUUUGACUGUCUGUCUCCUGCUUC
RNAcentral lists this long non-coding RNA (1835 nucleotides) under Pan troglodytes (chimpanzee). RNAcentral's name for it is "long non-coding RNA NONPTRT017595". Lineage: Eukaryota; Metazoa; Chordata; Mammalia; Primates; Hominidae. The record is from RNAcentral.